Molecule: long non-coding RNA, 1551 nt
Organism: Gopherus agassizii (Agassiz's desert tortoise)
Lineage: Eukaryota; Metazoa; Chordata; Testudines; Testudinidae
Source: Ensembl
UGAAAGGCAGGCAUUUCAGAGCUCCUCUUGAAUAAUUAGAAGCAAAACUAUUGCAUGAAACCAGUGUCUUCUUGUACUAGUGUGUGAUCUAGGAUCUAACUUAUGAGUUAUUGAUCUGGUUGUAUUCAGACCUAUUUCUGUUGCUGGGGUGGAAUUUUGCAUCUAAACAAAUGAUGAGACAUUUAUAAGCUAGCACUUCGUUCCCCUUGUGGCUGAUGGAUUGUCUGGUGGGGGAGUGUUACCUUGUUCUCAGCACGGGUGAGACGGAACGUCAGCCUUCACCUUGCAAUCCUUGUGGACUCACCCAGUGCAAAUAUGGGUCAGCAACCAGGAGUAUGAUGAAUCCAGAAAUCCAGGCUGGCCACUGGCUACCACAAAUCCUCCUAGAUGACUGGUCUUACGUCACACCUUUGACAAAAAAUAAAACCCAACAACCACCUAGAACUGAGCAAAAUAAAUAUAAAAUUCGUCAUUAUUUGGGGUUAAAGGAGGGCUGGCAUUUAACUCAGGAUUUAAAAACUGGAAUAGUGAAGGUGACAGUAGCCAUCUAACUUGUUGGAGUGAUUAUUGUCAAACUUCUACUACACAUCCGAGGACUCUGAUUGUACAUUUCUUUCUUUGUGCCAGGCACCAUGCAAACACGGAGGUAAACACACUUCCAAUAUCUUUUCCAUGUGUCAGGGCAAAGGUUUGUAAAGAAAUCCUCUCUUCUGGAGUUUUUAGAUCAUGUCUGCACACAUAUCUUGCACCAGGUCAGCUAAAACUGAUGCAAAUUUUGCUCUAAAUCAGUCAGAAGAGGUAAAAAAGGGCAUUUUAGGCAGGAAGAUUAUUUAAGGAAUCAUUCAUUUUACCUGAGAUAUUCUCAGAAAGAAAGUAUUGAAACAAAUGAAGAUUUUCCCUAGGUAGCAGGAGGAAAUUCUCUGUGAAUUAGUCUGAGUAAACUAGUGUUUUGGGAAACUAAAAUUUUGUGAAACCUUUUUGUUGCAGAAGUUUAGUUGGGGGGUUGGGGGAGGGGAGUUAAUUCUGCCAGAAGGGAGAGGAAAAGAUUGUUUUCUUAGCUGAGUGUUCAGAAUUAAAUCAUGUUGCAGCUCAUGCUCAUUGUUUUGUAGACAGCUAGGGAAUGGGUGUUAUACAGUAGAUAGAUUUAGGCAACUGAGGUUAGUCAACCACGUAUAACCCAAGGUUUCUGCAAGAACUUGGACAGUCCAGGAACCUUUUGAGAAUUUGUUGAUCCAGUGGUUGCUACAAAUCUACAAUUAUUUAUAGAUGUAUGUGCUGCAGCACUUGCCAUUUUGAGCAAAGGCAGCAGGACCAGUAAAAAACAAACAUUUAUACUAUGUGUGGUUCCAUUUAUGAUGUAUUAAAGAUCCAUGUAGUCAGGGAAUGAGAUAUAAUCCACUGUUUAUUUAAUGGGAUAUGCUGCCAUAUUGUAAUGUAAUUUAGAAGUGUAUGACCUACUAAUUCAUAAUGCUGAAGUAUGAACAAAAAUUAUUUUAUGUAGUUGAUUUGUAAGGACAAGUUAUUCUUUAAGAUUCAGUCGAUCUAUAUUUU